Molecule: unclassified non-coding RNA, 337 nt
Filed under: uncultured fungus
Lineage: Eukaryota; Fungi
Description: partial contains 5.8S ribosomal RNA and internal transcribed spacer 2
Rfam family: 5.8S ribosomal RNA (bases 1-133)
Source: RNAcentral
UGGUUCUGGCAUCGAUGAAGAACGCAGCGAAAUGCGAAAAGUAAUGUGAAUUGCAGAAUUCAGUGAAUCAUCGAAUCUUUGAACGCACAUUGCGCCCGCCAGUAUUCUGGCGGGCAUGCCUGUCUGAGCGUCAUUUCAACCCUCAUGCCCCUAGGGCGUGGUGUUGGGGAUCGGCCAAGGCCCGCAAGGGACGGCCGGCCCCUAAAUCUAGUGGCGGACCCGUCGUGGCCUCCCCUGCGAAGUAGUGAUAUUCCGCAUCGGACAGCGACGAGCCCCAGCCGUUAAACCCCCCAAACUUUACAAGGUUGACCUCAGAUCAGGUAGGAAUACCCGCUGA